This is a long non-coding RNA of Homo sapiens (human), 1311 nucleotides long. Ensembl annotates it as cytosolic oncogenic antisense to MET transcript. Its record names the gene COMETT. The record is from Ensembl. Lineage: Eukaryota; Metazoa; Chordata; Mammalia; Primates; Hominidae.
ACAGAGGCCGUAGACCUGAAGAACCAACAACCUUCCAUAGGCUUUGAGGUCCCACUCCGGCAGCAGGACGUGCUGGCUCCCAGGAAUCACUGUGACCACUAUUCUAAAUUCCUUAUGUGUUCAGAAUUUAUUCAGAGCUCAGGAAGGUGAUACUACUGUAACAGAUGCUCUUCAGGAAUUGACAAACAAUUGUGGAGGUUGGCAAUUCCAAAAUCUGAGGAGUAGGUAAACUGGAAGACUAGAGACCCUGGGAAGAGUUGAUGUUACAGCUUGAAUCUGAAGGCAGUCUGCUGGAAGAAUCCCCUCUUUCUUGUAGAAGCCCCUUGACUGGGCAAACUUCAAACAAGUGACUGAGCUCCCUUAGCUGCCACUGAUUGGACCAGGAUGGACAACAAAUGUAGGAGGAGUUCAUCUGGAUCUAGCCUGAGCCAGUCAGAUAUCCCCUUUGAAUCCAUGCCUAUAGAAAUACAAAAAAAUGGAAGCCAGAGGAUGAUGGAUCCUUGAAGUAAUAAGUCAGGUAGAUCUUGAAAAUUUUUGACUCAAUCCAUAUUGAUGAACACAAGAAUAAUUCUGGUCUACAAAGAGAGGCAAGAGAAAGACUUGGGGUGUAUUAAGAAAAACAGCUCUGUGGAAGUUUGAGUGACUCAUUGCAGAGAGGAAUUGAUGAAGUCAACAGCUGCUGGAAAAACUUCUUUUUCCUUAAUAGCUGUAUCAACAUGUGGUUGCUAUUAUUCAAAGUGGAUGAAAUAAUUCUGCAAGCCAGUGGGAACAGGAAGCUUCAUGAAGAGGAGAAAGGCUUAGGGCUCAGAAACCGCACAGAGCAGGAGGAUAGAUGAAUGUAAGGAACAGAGCUUUGAGGACAGACACCCCUGGAUUAGACAAUAGCUCCAAAACUUAUUAAUGAUGGUGAAUGGGUGACUUUCUAAAACCCUUUAAACCUUAUUUGUAAAAUGGGACCAUCAAUAUCUAUUUUGAAAUCUUGUAUAAAUUUGCAAUAAUGUCUGUAAAGUAUCUGACAGGAGCUCAGAAAUGACACAAUUCUUUAAAUCCACUCACACCCAACUUUUAAACAAAAAGUAGCAGUAUAUCCUACACACGAUUUUUAAAUUUUACUAUUUAAGUUAACAUCAUGCUAUGAACAUAUUUCCAUGUCAUUAAAUAUUCUAUUCCAUCCAAUAUUUAAAAGCUAAUAGAAGUCUGUUAAAUGCAUAUGCCAUAAUUUAUUUAACCAAUUCGGUUGUUUUAAUAUUUAUGUUGUUUCCAAUAUAUUAUGCUAUUGACAAUAAAAUGAUGAACAUUUAUGAUGAUGAA